GCUGGGAAAUAUCUGAAAGCUUUACUCAACUUCAGAAGAGCAUUAAACCCCUCACAGGGAAGGGGCCUGUUCUUUCCCACGCUAUCAUCCAUCUGGCAAACCUUCCAGCGGAAAGUGCCCGUGGAAAGCAGCCAUGCUGUUCCCCAUGCCCGUGGAACAAGGGCAAUUUGGAAGCUGCAACAAGAGGCCCAAAGAUCAGAAAUGUAGGUGA
Molecule: long non-coding RNA, 211 nt
Organism: Chelonia mydas (Green sea turtle)
Lineage: Eukaryota; Metazoa; Chordata; Testudines; Cheloniidae
Exons: 3
Source: RefSeq, a predicted model, not a curated record